GAGUGAACGCUGGCGGUAGGCCUAACCCAUGCAAGUCGAGCGGCAGCACAGUAAGAGCUUGCUCUUACGGGUGGCGAGUGGCGGACGGGUGAGGAAUACAUCGGAAUCUACUUUUUCGUGGGGGAUAACGUAGGGAAACUUACGCUAAUACCGCAUACGACCUACGGGUGAAAGCAGGGGAUCUUCGGACCUUGCGCGAUUGAAUGAGCCGAUGUCGGAUUAGCUAGUUGGCGGGGUAAAGGCCCACCAAGGCGACGAUCCGUAGCUGGUCUGAGAGGAUGAUCAGCCACACUGGAACUGAGACACGGUCCAGACUCCUACGGGAGGCAGCAGUGGGGAAUAUUGGACAAUGGGCGCAAGCCUGAUCCAGCCAUACCGCGUGGGUGAAGAAGGCCUUCGGGUUGUAAAGCCCUUUUGUUGGGAAAGAAAAGCAGCAGGUUAAUACCCCGCUGUUCUGACGGUACCCAAAGAAUAAGCACCGGCUAACUUCGUG
This 493-nucleotide ribosomal RNA is filed under the name uncultured bacterium. Its description in RNAcentral is "partial 16S ribosomal RNA". It matches the Rfam family "Bacterial small subunit ribosomal RNA", at positions 27 to 507 of the family's 1533-position model. The record is from RNAcentral.